CAGAGGGUGCGAGCGUUAAUCGGAAUUACUGGGCGUAAAGCGCGCGUAGGCGGCUUUGCAAGUCGGGUGUGAAAUCCCCAGGCUUAACCUGGGAACUGCAUUCGAGACUGCAUUGCUAGAGUAUGGGAGAGGGAAGUGGAAUUUCCGGUGUAGCGGUGAAAUGCGUAGAUAUCGGAAGGAACAUCAGUGGCGAAGGCGACUUCCUGGACCAAUACUGACGCUCAUGUGCGAAAGCGUGGGGAGCAAACAGGAUUAGAUACCCUGGUAGUCCACGCCAUAAACGAUGAGAACUGGAUGUCGGGAGGGUCUGCCUCUCGGUGUCGUAGCUAACGCGUUAAGUUCUCCGCCUGGGGAGUACGGCCGCAAGGUUG
This 371-nucleotide ribosomal RNA is filed under the name uncultured organism. RNAcentral's name for it is "bacterial SSU rRNA". It matches the Rfam family "Bacterial small subunit ribosomal RNA", at positions 526 to 896 of the family's 1533-position model. The record is from RNAcentral.